Molecule: non-coding RNA, 83 nt
Organism: Nematostella vectensis (starlet sea anemone)
Lineage: Eukaryota; Metazoa; Cnidaria; Anthozoa; Actiniaria; Edwardsiidae
Source: Rfam
ACCAGGAUGGCCGAGUGGUUAAGGCGUUGGACUUAAGUUCCAAUGUACGGAUGUACGCGUGGGUUCGAACCCCACUCCUGGUA